CAAAUAGUGACAGAGACGAAAGUCUACCUGGGGUAGAAAGCAUGAGGUCGUUGCUAUGUCAGCCCACAUUUGACACUGCUGGGGUUGGGGACGGUGUCCACACCUGACAGAGAGCUCUUCGCUCGUGAUCUCUACCACACUCAGAUCUUCCUCAGAGGAGUUUCUGUGAACGCUGUGGUUUCUCACUCAAAGUGGAAAAUUCCUGUCCUUUCUGUGUGCCAGCAGUACUUGUUGGAGACCCAAUACCGAGGCCUGCACCUUUCAUCUGACUGUUCCUUGUCUGGAUGUCUAGCAGCAAGAACGUUUGCUACGUUUGCUCCACAGAAAGAGUUCAAGAAAACAAUUGAUUGAACAAAUGAACGAUGGGAUGCAGGCCCAAUGCUACGUGGCAAAACACUGUCUCAAAAGCAAAAACAAAACUACGGAAACAAGCAAAAGCACUUCUGUGCUAUUGGAAAUGAGCGCCUCACAUGUGUCUCAGGUCACUCCCUUUCCUGUCCUAGCCACGGUCAGAGUGAUGUAGUUGCCAUGGCAAUCUCUCUCAUAAUCCUGAGGGUAGGAUAAGAGAGCCAGGGAAAGGAAUUAGGAAGUUUUAAAAGUUAAUAUUACUAUUAUUUUUAAAUGUGUGAGUCCAAUGGUAUUCUAAUAAGUUUAUCAAAGGCAUGAAUGAUAUUGACUAGAAAUGAUACUGUAUCCCUCUAUUUGAAUUUCACCCUUCUAUAGAUUAGAAAGUUAUGUUUAUGCUUUCUUCUCCAUUUUUAAAUAGAAAAAUGCAAACUGAGGUCAACUCAUGAAAAACUUCUAUCACUGGAGAAAGACAGAAUCGAUUUCAAUUUUACAGAUGGAACAGACAGAACUGAAACCACAUAUUUAUUGAAGAACCACUAAAAUAUGGGUUAAUAAAAAAAGAGUGAAUGAGGAGUAGGUAUUAUAAUUCAUUUUCAAAUUGAAAUAAUAAUAAAACUUUAAAUGAGCAGUAAUAACUAGCAAUCAUAACAAAGUUUUCAGCACUGUGCCAAAUGCCAGGCAACAUUUAUCAUAUAUAACUGGCCACCUGUUUCUAUAGGUAUCAUGUCGUAUGUGUAUUUUUAACAAACCAGAUGGAAAAUACUUGAAAAACAUAUUGAAAUCUCUGUGGAAUAUGAACAUAUAUUUGUCUCACAAUUAUUCCCAAAACAAUACAGUACCAGCAACUAUUUAUAUAUCAUUGCUACUGUAUUCUAUGUAAUCCAGAGAGGCUUUGGGGCUUACAAGCUGCAAAAGUUAUGGGCAAACACUAUAGCAGUUGAGCAUCUGUGGACUUUGAUAUCCAUGGGAGGCCCAGGAAGCAGAGAUAAUUACUGCUUAAUUUUCUGGAAGAAAGUUCCAUUCUGUACUCACAUCCACUAAAGUGAGAGUGUGUAUAACACCCAGAAUGGCUGUAGUGGCAAAUGUUUUAGGCUAUGACCUGGAAACUCUGGCUGAGUCUCUGAGAUCCACUAGCUAUCAGAUACCAAAGGAGGCAAUGAGGUGGAUCGAAACGCAACUUGCAAAGGGACUGUUGGAGAACUGGUUUCUCUAGCAGCGCUGCCGAGGGAGCAACAUCCAAGGGAACUUCUGAAGAACUCAGCGGUCCCAUGGGAGAAUCAGCUUUCACAACUGCCAUGCUGGGGAGUGCAAAGCCCUUCAGAAAGACAGCAGCAGAGGGAGAACUUUCUGUGCUCCUUCCCCCAAAUCCCUCUAACCCCAGGAGCCUGGGAAUCUAGCUGGAGGGGACAAGAGAGGUGCUGGCAGAUGAAGCAAAGGCCACCUCUGCUCCGCUGUUUGAAGCUUGCCCUUGGUAGGAAGAGGAAAAUGAUUUAACUCCAAAGGAAGUCUUGCACAGUGUAUGGGACUGGGCACUGUAAUAUUAGAGCAAGCCUAUUGAUAGGAAGCGCUCUGGGGUUCUCCUGCCUCCUCUUUCCUGGAGAUUACAGGAAUGUGCCACCAUGCCUGCUUUAGGCAGUACUAGAAUCAGAUUCCUGAGCCCUGUGCAUGCUGGGAAAAACACUCUACCAACUGAACUGCAUCUUCAACCCACACAAAUGGUUUUCAUCAGCACAUAGUAAUUAUAGAAAGAGGAGAAUGUCUUUAUAACAUUUCCAUUCACGAACAUAAUGUACUUGGAUCGCAUUCACCUCUGCUGUUACCAGCUCCUAUUCGCCCCCUUUCCCUGCCCACACCCCUAACAGCCUCCCUUCCGGGAGACUUUAGGAAACAGGUUUCAAAGAAACAGUUGGCCAUCUUCAAGCUUAGUUUCUUUCCUCCUUCCCUUCUUGCUUUCUUUUUUGAGACAGUAUUUUGGUUUAGGUUUUGGUUUUUUGUUUGCUUGCUUGUUUUGUUUUGAAGCAUCGCCUGUCCUGGAACUCACCGUGUAGAUCAGGCUAGCCUUGAACUCACAGAAAUAUAUUGCCUCUGCCUCUCAAGUACUGGGAUUAAAGGCAUGUGCCACCUCGCCCAGAUUCAAUUUUUUUUAACUAUUUCCUACAAGUGUGCUUGUCAUGUGUGUUGAUUGUUCAGCACUAAAAUUGACCUGCAAGUAUGUUAAAUUCAGCCCCUGUAAUUAUUUUUACAUUUUCUAGCUAUUUUUUAAAAUAAGAUUUUUAAAAAAAAAUGAUCACAAGGUGCAUUUGGAAAGUUAGAAUCCAUUUCUUUCAGCCCGGGUGUGUGAAAUGGGCUACUGAAACACAAUUAAAUUGCAAUAAGUACGAUUAUAAGUAAUAAACACAUCGCGGAAUAAGUGAGGAUGUGGGAAAAGCCCUAUCUGUGUGCAUCUCGCUUCUGUCACCUUACAGAAAGUAGCCAUGGAACCAGUAAUAUGACUCAGAGGGGGAAGUGCCUGUCAUGUAAAUCUGACAAUCUGAAUUCGAGCCUCAGUGCUCACCACAGAAGGAAAGCCUACUGAAAGCUGUUCUGACUCAUGCACCCUGUAAGACAUGCACACCGGCCAUGUGCAUGCACAUGCACCACUAAUAGUAAACAAAACAAAGUAUAGAGGCAUUGAUGCAACUUUUAGGAUUGUUGGGACAGUUAAAAGUAAUCAUACUGUAACUUGGAGUAAAGACAAGGUUCAACAAAUCAAAGAUAGUAUUAUUAUUAAAAUAGAUGAACAUAGAUGUGAGAAAUCUCACUUUAUUGGAAAAAGUUACUUAUAUCAUUAUAUCCCUUGUUCCUGUUAUCAAUAUUGUGUAAUGACAGGAUUUUGAAUAUUAUUUUUUAAAUGUAUUUAUUUUAA
Arvicola amphibius (Eurasian water vole) is the source of this 3253-nucleotide long non-coding RNA. RefSeq lists it as uncharacterized. The transcript has 2 exons. NCBI's taxonomy places the organism in Eukaryota, Metazoa, Chordata, Mammalia, Rodentia, Cricetidae. The record is from RefSeq and is a predicted model, not a curated record.